This 533-nucleotide ribosomal RNA is filed under the name Saccharomyces cerevisiae (brewer's yeast). Its description in RNAcentral is "eukaryotic LSU rRNA". It matches the Rfam family "Eukaryotic large subunit ribosomal RNA", at positions 56 to 589 of the family's 3401-position model. Lineage: Eukaryota; Fungi; Ascomycota; Saccharomycetes; Saccharomycetales; Saccharomycetaceae. The record is from RNAcentral.
AAGGAACCCACCCGGGAUUCCCUUAGUAACGGGGAGUGAAGCGGCAAAAGCUCAAAUUUGAAAUCUGGUACCUUCGGGUGCCCGAGUUUGUAAUUUGGAGAGGGCAACUUUGGGGCCGUUCCUUGUCUAUGUUCCUUGGAACAGGACGUCAUAGAGGGUGAGAAUCCCGUGUGGCGAGGAGUGCGGUUCUUUGUAAAGUGCCUUCGAAGAGUCGAGUUGUUUGGGAAUGCAGCUCUAAGUGGGUGGUAAAUUCCAUCUAAAGCUAAAUAUUGGCGAGAGACCGAUAGCGAACAAGUACAGUGAUGGAAAGAUGAAAAGAACUUUGAAAAGAGAGUGAAAAAGUACGUGAAAUUGUUGAAAGGGAAGGGCAUUUGAUCAGACAUGGUGUUUUGUGCCCUCUGCUCCUUGUGGGUAGGGGAAUCUCGCAUUUCAGCUGGGCCAGCAUCGAGUUUUGGUGGCAGGAUAAAUCCAUAGGAAUGUAGCUUGCCUCCGGUAAAAUAAGUAUUACUACCCGAAAACUGUGGGAAUAGGGC